Molecule: microRNA precursor, 128 nt
Filed under: Chlorocebus sabaeus (green monkey)
Lineage: Eukaryota; Metazoa; Chordata; Mammalia; Primates; Cercopithecidae
Description: miRNA (ENSCSAG00000021705.1)
Source: RNAcentral
CACUAUUGGAUCUCAUUAAAAUGCAGAUUCUGAUUCAGAAGGUCUGGGUGAGACCUGAGAUUCUGAAUUUCUAGCAAGUGCCCAGGUGAUGCUGAUGUUGUUAGUCCAAGGACAGCACUGUAAGUAGC